UACGUAGGUGGCAAGCGUUGUCCGGAAUUAUUGGGCGUAAAGCGCGCGCAGGCGGCCUCCUAAGUCCGAUGUGAAAGCCCACGGCUCAACCGUGGAGGGUCAUUGGAAACUGGGGGACUUGAGUGCAGGAGAGAAGAGUGGAAUUCCACGUGUAGCGGUGAAAUGCGUAGAGAUGUGGAGGAACACCAGUGGCGAAGGCGACUCUGUGGCCUGUAACUGACGCUGAGGCGCGAAAGCGUGGGGAGCAAACAGG
Molecule: ribosomal RNA, 253 nt
Filed under: uncultured bacterium
Lineage: Bacteria
Description: partial 16S ribosomal RNA
Rfam family: Bacterial small subunit ribosomal RNA
Source: RNAcentral